UACGGAGGGUGCAAGCGUUAUCCGGAUUCACUGGGUUUAAAGGGUGCGUAGGUGGACUGGUAAGUCCGUGGUGAAAUCCCCAAGCUUAACUUGGGAACUGCCGUGGAUACUAUUAGUCUUGAAUACUGUGGAGGUAAGCGGAAUAUGUCAUGUAGCGGUGAAAUGCUUAGAUAUGACAUAGAACACCGAUAGCGAAGGCAGCUUGCUACACAGUCAUUGACACUGAGGCACGAAAGCGUGGGGAGCAAACAGG
RNAcentral lists this ribosomal RNA (253 nucleotides) under uncultured bacterium. Its description in RNAcentral is "partial 16S ribosomal RNA". It matches the Rfam family "Bacterial small subunit ribosomal RNA", at positions 524 to 776 of the family's 1533-position model. The record is from RNAcentral.